Molecule: long non-coding RNA, 1342 nt
Organism: Anguilla rostrata (American eel)
Lineage: Eukaryota; Metazoa; Chordata; Actinopteri; Anguilliformes; Anguillidae
Exons: 2
Source: RefSeq, a predicted model, not a curated record
AGGCAGCAAUUGUUUUCCUCAACGUGAAUUAAAAUCUGCAUUAUAUUUCGCUUAAGUCUAUUUUAAAAAAAGUGAUAGGUGGCGGUAAAUAAGCAAAAUGUCACUUUCAUGCAUGGUCUGAAAGAGGAAAUACUGUCUACUCCAGCCCCAAAGCACGUUAUUUAAACGUAGACGACGUCUGGAAUAACCUACUCCAUGAGCUGAAAAUUAAGCACAUUAAGAACAAAUUUGAUUGUCAUUUCUGCACUUCUUUUUGUCAUUAUUGGGUUUCCCUGGUGUCACAAUUUCCACUUUUGCAAAUUUGCAUGAAGAAGGAUACGCCACCAUAAUGUAGAGUUGUGAGGAAGGAGUGUCUUGGUCUAAAUAUGCACCGGUCUGGGCGUGCCCCCCGCCAUUGACGAGUCCAACAGGCGCAUGUAGCACUCGCAGCGCGGUAGCUCCAAGUAAAUAAUAGCGAAGAGCCGUUUCAGAAAAUCACUUGACAUUUUUCACGUUUUACAGCGUGUGGCCCCGAAAAUAGGCACGUGUACGCCCUUGCAAUCAAUAAAGAUAACUGAGAAAAGAUGACAGGUCAGAAGGAGGACGAGGUGGAGGCCUGAGAGUUUACCGCCCUACAAACAGAGCCCCACGUCUUUUGAAACAAGAGUGACGCUUAUUUUUGUAAAACUGCUUCCGGGUUCACAUAAAUUUGAACUGACCUGUGUUAAGAGCGCAACUUCUGAUGAAGUUCUGAGGAAGACCUACGGGAUGAAAUGUUAACAGUCACAUGGUUAAGUAAAAUUUAACCUUUAACCAUACUUUAGUGUAAAUACGCAGGUUUUCAUUCUGCAUUUCAUGUUUGGACUCUGUACCUGAUUCCAAGAAACUUCCAGAGUGCAUUAUUCUUUUACAAUAACAGAAGGCCUAUUUACAUGCAUAAAACAAAAUAACUGUCAACAAGACCAAAAUACUGAAGUAUUGUUUUAAUAAACAUAAAUUCCACAAUAAGGUAACACCUGAGACUUUCUACACAUCUUACAAACAAUAUUUAGUACUUUUUAAAACACAAAAAUAUGUUUUAGUCUGAUUAUAUCAAAGCUCUUGAUGCUAUUGAAAAGUACAAAAGCAAUUCUUCCAAAACUUGGUUCUUCCUGACUGUGGUCAACCCCAAUGUUGCCAAAAAACAAAAAAAACAAUAGCUCUUCCCAGGCAAACAGUUACUACAAAACUUUACACACAUAUGUAUACAUAUAUAUACACAUUAGUGAGAAGAUAUUUAGCAGCUGGAAAACCACAACUGCAGGAGACAGUUAAUUUGUAAAAAGGUAAAUCUAACACAGACAUCUGUACUUCGAGUCAAGGA